This 424-nucleotide ribosomal RNA is filed under the name uncultured bacterium. Its description in RNAcentral is "partial 16S ribosomal RNA". It matches the Rfam family "Bacterial small subunit ribosomal RNA", at positions 360 to 776 of the family's 1533-position model. The record is from RNAcentral.
AAUCUUGGACAAUGGGCGCAACCCUGAUCCAGCCAUGCAGCGCGAGUGAAGAAGGCCUACGGGUGGGAAAGCACUUUCGGACGGAAAGAAAUCGCGCAGGCUAAUACCCUGCGCGCAUGACGGUACCGUCAUUAGAAGCACCGGCUACCUACGUGCCAGCAGCCGCGGUAAUAAGUAGGGUGCGAGCGUUAAGCGGAAUUACUGGGCGUAAAGCGUGCGCAGGCGGUUGAUUAACACAGAAGUGGAAACCGCAGGCUUAGAGUGGGAACUGGACUUGUGACUAGUAAGCUAGGAUACGGCAGCGGGGGGUGGAAUACCACGUGGAGCAGUGAAAUGCGUAGAGAUGUGGAGGAACAACGAUGGCGAAGGCCGCGCCCUGGGCGGAUGCUGACGCUCAUGCACGAAAGCGUGGGUAGCAGACAGG